This 718-nucleotide unclassified non-coding RNA is filed under the name Hevea brasiliensis (rubber tree). Lineage: Eukaryota; Viridiplantae; Streptophyta; Magnoliopsida; Malpighiales; Euphorbiaceae. The record is from RNAcentral.
GGUCUGGAUUGUUCAAUAGGUCUACGCCUAUGGCUCUCCCACACUGCCCAUAAUUGUAAUUCCAUGAAAUUUGGAUAGGACCUCUACCGUAAUAUUGUUUGCCAGGAGCACAAGGAUAAGUGGGACUUGGAGAACAGUAAGACCCUGGAUUUUGUUCCCUCAGAUAGCAAUAUCCCCAAGCAAAUGGUCCAUCUGGUGCAGUUCCCCACCCUCCUGUAGUUUCAUGAGAUGUCUGGGCAAAGAAGGCAGCAAUCUCCCUUUUACGUGUCGCAACAUCCCCGGUGGUGCCGAAGGUAGGAAAAGCUUUGGCUGCUGAGAUAAAAGCGUCAUAGGUGUAAAAUCCCUUGGCAGGGCAAGCACCAUCAUUUCUAUGUUUGAGCAUCUGAUUAAACGUUGCUCCUGAGAUGAUACUAGUAAUGUCUCCGCCGCCGCUGCCUCCACCGCCACAUUGGCUUUGGCAGGUGGCACCACAGUAAUCAGGCGUGUUACCACACCAACCAAAUUGGCUACAACAUAGGCCUCCUGGGCAUAAGGCACCCCCAGCUUGCCUUCCACAUUGCUCAGCUGAAGUUCCAAGCAAAAGGGACGCCAACAGCAUACAAGAAACUGUGAAAGCCAAAGCCCUCAUGUCUAUAUAUGUUAUUUUUGUGAUAUAAUUAUAUUUCUGGAUGAUGAUUAGAAGAAGGGAAUAUAUAUAUAGAGCAAGAGCGAGAGAGAG